This 466-nucleotide ribosomal RNA is filed under the name uncultured bacterium. Its description in RNAcentral is "partial 16S ribosomal RNA". It matches the Rfam family "Bacterial small subunit ribosomal RNA", at positions 28 to 507 of the family's 1533-position model. The record is from RNAcentral.
GAUGAACGCUGGCGGCGUGCUUAACACAUGCAAGUCGAACGGAAAGGCUCCUGCUUGCAGGGGUACUCGAGUGGCGAACGGGUGAGUAACACGUGGGUGAUCUGCCCUGCACUUCGGGAUAAGCCUGGGAAACUGGGUCUAAUACCGGAUAGGACGAUGGUUUGGAUGCCAUUGUGGAAAGUUUUUUCGGUGUGGGAUGAGCUCGCGGCCUAUCAGCUUGUUGGUGGGGUAAUGGCCUACCAAGGCGUCGACGGGUAGCCGGCCUGAGAGGGUGUACGGCCACAUUGGGACUGAGAUACGGCCCAGACUCCUACGGGAGGCAGCAGUGGGGAAUAUUGCACAAUGGGCGCAAGCCUGAUGCAGCGACGCCGCGUGGGGGAUGACGGCCUUCGGGUUGUAAACUCCUGUCGCUAGGGACGAAGCGCAAGUGACGGUACCUGGAGAAGAAGCACCGGCUAACUACGUG